This 1571-nucleotide ribosomal RNA is filed under the name human gut metagenome. RNAcentral describes it as "bacterial LSU rRNA". It matches the Rfam family "Bacterial large subunit ribosomal RNA", at positions 1287 to 2925 of the family's 2925-position model. The record is from RNAcentral.
AGUGAGAAUGCCGGAAUGAGUAGCGAGAAUUAUGUGAGAAUCAUAAUGGUCGAAAAUCUAAGGUUUCUUGAGGAAGGUUCGUCCGCUCAAGGUAAGCCGGGAGCUAAGGCGAGGCCGAGAGGCGUAGUCGAUGCACAUACGGUAAAGAUUCCGUAGCCACCGAAGUCGUUAAAUACAGGGACACAGGAACAUAGCCUAACCCCACCGUUGGUUGAGUGGGGCGUAAGGGAGCGAAAAUUAGUAGCGAAGUAGGUGAUUGUACACUGGCGAGAAAAGCUGUAUGAAUUGACAAGGUGCCCGUACCGCAAACCGACACAGGUAGAUGAGGAGAGAAUCCUAAGACCAGCGGGAGAAGUGUUGUUAAGGAACUCGGCAAAAUGACCCCGUAACUUCGGGAUAAGGGGAGCCUACGCGAGUAGGCCGCAGAGAAUAGUCUCAAGCGACUGUUUAGCAAAAACACAGGUCUAUGCUAAAUCGAAAGAUGAUGUAUAUGGGCUGACGCCUGCCCGGUGCUGGAAGGUUAAGGGGAAGUGUUAGAGCAAUCGAAGCACUGAACUUAAGCCCCAGUAAACGGCGGCCGUAACUAUAACGGUCCUAAGGUAGCGAAAUUCCUUGUCAGGUAAGUUCUGACCCGCACGAAUGGCGUAACGACUUGAGAGCUGUCUCAACAACAUACCCGGCGAAAUUGAAGUACUGGUAAAGAUGCCAGUUACCCGUGAUAAGACGGAAAGACCCCAUGGAGCUUUACUGUAACUUGAUAUUGAAUUUUUGUAUUACAUGUACAGGAUAGGUGGGAGACAGAGAACUAAUGCCGCCAGGUGUUAGGGAGUCGAUGUUGGGAUACCACUCUUGUAAUAUGAAGGUUCUAACCUGCACCCGUGAAUCCGGGUGGGGGACACUGUCAGGUGGACAGUUUGACUGGGGCGGUCGCCUCCUAAAAGGUAACGGAGGCGUUCAAAGGUUGGUUCAGCACGGACGGAAAUCGUGCAACGAGUGCAAACGCAUAAACCAGCCUAACUGCGAGACCGACAAGUCGAGCAGUAACGAAAGUUGGAGUUAGUGAUCCGGCGGUAUGAGAGUGGAAUUGCCGUCGCUCAACGGAUAAAAGCUACCCUGGGGAUAACAGGCUGAUCUCCCCCAAGAGUCCACAUCGACGGGGAGGUUUGGCACCUCGAUGUCGGCUCAUCGCAUCCUGGAGCUGAAGUCGGUUCCAAGGGUUGGGCUGUUCGCCCAUUAAAGCGGUACGCGAGCUGGGUUCAGAACGUCGCGAGACAGUUCGGUCCCUAUCUAUCACGGGCGUAGGAAAUUUGAGGAGAGCUGACCUUAGUACGAGAGGACCGGGUUGGACGUACCGCUGGUGCACCUGUUGUUCUGCCAAGGGCAUAGCAGGGUAGCUAAGUACGGACGGGAUAAACGCUGAAGGCAUCUAAGCGUGAAGCCCCCUUCGAGAUAAGAUUUCCCAUAGCGUAGGCUAGUAAGGACCCAUGAAGACUACAUGGUUGAUAGGCCGGAGGUGGAAGUGCAGUAAUGUAUGCAGCUGACCGGUACUAAUAGUCCGAGGGCUUGACCAA